AUUCCAGCUCCAAUAGCGUAUAUUAAAGUUGUUGCGGUUAAAAAGCUCGUAGUUGGAUUUCAGUUCCGGACUGACGGUUCACCGCCCGGUGCCUACUGUCACGCUCCGAACAGCCGCACCGCCGGCUUGCACGGGGUGCUCUUCAUCGAGUGUCCCGAGUGGCCGGCACGUUUACUUUGAAAAAAUUAGAGUGCUCAGAGCAGGCUCCUUGAAUGGCCUGAAUGUCUAUGCAUGGAAUAAUGGAAUAGGACCUCGGUUCUAUUUUGUUGGUUUUCGGAACCCGAGGUAAUGACUAAUAGGAAUUGACGGAAGGGCACAUAUUGCGACGCUAGAGGUGAAAUUCUUGGACCGUCGCAAGACGAACUACUGCGAAAGCAUUUGCCAAGGAUGUUUUCAUUAAUCAAGAACGAAAGUUAGAGGUUCGAAGGCGAUCAGAUACCGCCCUAGUUCUAACCAUAAACGAUGCUGACUAGCGAUCCGCCGGCGUUAUUCCCAUGACCCG
Molecule: ribosomal RNA, 502 nt
Filed under: uncultured Panulirus
Lineage: Eukaryota; Metazoa; Arthropoda; Malacostraca; Decapoda; Palinuridae
Description: SSU rRNA
Rfam family: Eukaryotic small subunit ribosomal RNA
Source: RNAcentral